GAACUGAAGAGUUUGAUCAUGGCUCAGAUUGAACGCUGGCGGCAGGCCUAACACAUGCAAGUCGAGCGGUAGAGAGGUGCUUGCACCUCUUGAGAGCGGCGGACGGGUGAGUAAUGCCUAGGAAUCUGCCUGGUAGUGGGGGAUAACGCUCGGAAACGGACGCUAAUACCGCAUACGUCCUACGGGAGAAAGCAGGGGACCUUCGGGCCUUGCGCUAUCAGAUG
The sequence is a ribosomal RNA, 224 nucleotides long. It matches the Rfam family "Bacterial small subunit ribosomal RNA", at positions 1 to 227 of the family's 1533-position model.